GUGAAGGCUUGACCUCAAAUCAGGUAGGACUACCCGCU
This 38-nucleotide ribosomal RNA is filed under the name Pisolithus albus. Its description in RNAcentral is "partial 28S ribosomal RNA". The record is from RNAcentral. Lineage: Eukaryota; Fungi; Basidiomycota; Agaricomycetes; Boletales; Pisolithaceae.